Molecule: ribosomal RNA, 445 nt
Filed under: Microbacterium luteolum
Lineage: Bacteria; Bacillati; Actinomycetota; Actinomycetes; Micrococcales; Microbacteriaceae
Description: bacterial SSU rRNA
Rfam family: Bacterial small subunit ribosomal RNA
Source: RNAcentral
CCUGGCUCAGGAUGAACGCUGGCGGCGUGCUUAACACAUGCAAGUCGAACGGUGAACACGGAGCUUGCUCUGUGGGAUCAGUGGCGAACGGGUGAGUAACACGUGAGCAACCUGCCCCUGACUCUGGGAUAAGCGCUGGAAACGGCGUCUAAUACUGGAUAUGUGACGUGAUCGCAUGGUCUGCGUCUGGAAAGAAUUUCGGUUGGGGAUGGGCUCGCGGCCUAUCAGCUUGUUGGUGAGGUAAUGGCUCACCAAGGCGUCGACGGGUAGCCGGCCUGAGAGGGUGACCGGCCACACUGGGACUGAGACACGGCCCAGACUCCUACGGGAGGCAGCAGUGGGGAAUAUUGCACAAUGGGCGCAAGCCUGAUGCAGCAACGCCGCGUGAGGGAUGACGGCCUUCGGGUUGUAAACCUCUUUUAGCAGGGAAGAAGCGAAAGUGACG